CAGUCGACGAUGAAGGGAAGCUUGCUUUCUGGAUUAGUGGCGAACGGGUGAGUAACACGUGAGUAACCUGCCCUUGACUCUGGGAUAAGCACUGGAAACGGUGUCUAAUACCGGAUACGAACUUCCACCGCAUGGUGAGGGGUUGGAAAGAAUUUUGGUCAAGGAUGGACUCGCGGCCUAUCAGCUAGUUGGUGAGGUAAUGGCUCACCAAGGCGACGACGGGUAGCCGGCCUGAGAGGGUGACCGGCCACACUGGGACUGAGACACGGCCCAGACUCCUACGGGAGGCAGCAGUGGGGAAUAUUGCACAAUGGGCGCAAGCCUGAUGCAGCAACGCCGCGUGAGGGACGAAGGCCUUCGGGUUGUAAACCUCUUUUAGUAGGGAAGAAGCGUAAAAGUGACGGUACCUGCAGAAAAAGCACCGGCUAACUACGUGCCAGCAGCCGCGGUAAUACGUAGGGUGCAAGCGUUAUCCGGAAUUAUUGGGCGUAAAGAGCUCGUAGGCGGUUUGUCGCGUCUGCUGUGAAAUCUGGGGGCUCAACCCCCAGCCUGCAGUGGGUACGGGCAGACUAGAGUGCGGUAGGGGAGAUUGGAAUUCCUGGUGUAGCGGUGGAAUGCGCAGAUAUCAGGAGGAACACCAAUGGCGAAGGCAGAUCUCUGGGCCGUAACUGACGCUGAGGAGCGAAAGCAUGGGGAGCGA
This 700-nucleotide ribosomal RNA is filed under the name uncultured bacterium. RNAcentral's name for it is "bacterial SSU rRNA". It matches the Rfam family "Bacterial small subunit ribosomal RNA", at positions 59 to 771 of the family's 1533-position model. The record is from RNAcentral.